This 248-nucleotide long non-coding RNA is filed under the name Durio zibethinus. Its description in RNAcentral is "long non-coding RNA (DZIB_LNC000201)". Lineage: Eukaryota; Viridiplantae; Streptophyta; Magnoliopsida; Malvales; Malvaceae. The record is from RNAcentral.
CAAAGCCAAUAAAAUGAUUAUAUUUAAAUAAACUAAACAUCCAUUUCCAAACUUAAAAGAAUAUCCAAAUGUAUCAAGUUUAGACAAUGAAACUAGAUUUCAAGAAACAAAAAGAACCUAAAGAGUUUGAAAAAAAAUUUAAAUGGUGUCCAGUGUUUAAAAUUAAAUGGUAGGUUUCAAUGACUUCAACUGAAACUUUGACAUCGGUUUCCCAUAAAAACAAAUUUUUCAUUUGGAUUUAUGAUUUG